RNAcentral lists this ribosomal RNA (187 nucleotides) under uncultured bacterium. Its description in RNAcentral is "partial 16S ribosomal RNA". It matches the Rfam family "Bacterial small subunit ribosomal RNA", at positions 1315 to 1500 of the family's 1533-position model. The record is from RNAcentral.
ACUACAUGAAGCCGGAAUCGCUAGUAAUCGCGGAUCAGAAUGCCGCGGUGAAUACGUUCCCGGGUCUUGUACACACCGCCCGUCACACCAUGGGAGUUGGAAAUGCCCGAAGUCAGUGGCCCAACCGGAAGGGGGGAGCUGCCGAAGGCAGGUUCGAUGACGUGGGGUGAAGUCGUAACAAGGUAGC